Acanthosepion pharaonis is the source of this 111-nucleotide non-coding RNA. Lineage: Eukaryota; Metazoa; Mollusca; Cephalopoda; Sepiida; Sepiidae. The record is from the annotation of a GenBank genome assembly.
UACGGCUAAAUCACGUUGAGGCACCGGUUCUCGUCCGACCACCGAAGUUAAAUAAUGUCGAGCCUUUCAGUACUUAGAUGGGUGACCGCUUGGGAAUACCAGUUGCCGUAA